RNAcentral lists this transfer RNA (73 nucleotides) under Bos taurus (domestic cattle). It matches the Rfam family "tRNA". Rfam says of the family: Transfer RNA (tRNA) molecules are approximately 80 nucleotides in length. Their secondary structure includes four short double-helical elements and three loops (D, anti-codon, and T loops). RNAcentral also lists the same sequence under 5 other names. Lineage: Eukaryota; Metazoa; Chordata; Mammalia; Artiodactyla; Bovidae. The record is from Rfam by way of RNAcentral.
UUCCUGGCAGUCCAGUGGUUAGGACUCUGCACUUUCACUGCUGAGGACAAGGGUUCCAUCCCUGGUCAGGAAA